Molecule: long non-coding RNA, 415 nt
Filed under: Mytilus galloprovincialis (Mediterranean mussel)
Lineage: Eukaryota; Metazoa; Mollusca; Bivalvia; Mytilida; Mytilidae
Source: RNAcentral
UUAGUCAAAAAUUGUCAAUUUUCACCAAAAUUCAGAUUACCAAACAGAUGAAUACUGAAACAUUUUGAACUUAAAAAGCUAAAACAUUCCAUUUAUACGUGUAUUUCUGUCACAAAUUUGGUAAUUAUAAAUGAGAAUAUAUGAUUGAUAGAGAUAUUUUGGUAGAGAAGGAAUUUUUUUCUCUCUGGACAUGGUGCCCCCUCCCCCUUUUUUUCAAAAUUCAAAAAAAUAUUAAAAAUUUAAAAGAUGGAAUUCAAUUGUGAACAUUUUGAGCAUUAAUACAUGAAAUUUCUUCAAAGGGAGAGAGCAAUAAUAGAACCCCCUACACCAUUUUUAUAUAUUAGGAUCUUUUUUUUGAAAUGGGGAAUGUGUCAAAGAGACAACAACCCAAACAAACAACAUAAAAUAGCCGAAA